Molecule: ribosomal RNA, 255 nt
Filed under: uncultured bacterium
Lineage: Bacteria
Description: partial 16S ribosomal RNA
Rfam family: Bacterial small subunit ribosomal RNA
Source: RNAcentral
UACAGAGGGGGCAAGCGUUGUUCGGAAUUACUGGGCGUAAAGGGCGCGUAGGCGGCCUGUUAAGUCGAACGUGAAAUCCCCGGGCUCAACCCGGGAACUGCGUCCGAUACUGGCAGGCUUGAAUCCGGGAGAGGGAUGCGGAAUUCCAGGUGUAGCGGUGAAAUGCGUAGAUAUCUGGAGGAACACCGGUGGCGAAGGCGGCAUCCUGGACCGGCAUUGACGCUGAGGCGCGAAAGCCAGGGGAGCAAAACGGGG